This 464-nucleotide ribosomal RNA is filed under the name uncultured bacterium. Its description in RNAcentral is "partial 16S ribosomal RNA". It matches the Rfam family "Bacterial small subunit ribosomal RNA", at positions 339 to 795 of the family's 1533-position model. The record is from RNAcentral.
CUACGGGUGGCACCAGUGGGGAAUAUUGCACAAUGGGCGCAAGCCUGAUGCAGCCAUGCCGCGUGUAUGAAGAAGGCCUUCGGGUUGUAAAGUACUUUCAGCGGGGAGGAAGGGAGUAAAGUUAAUACCUUUGCUAAUUGACGUUACCCGCAGAAGAAGCACCGGCUAACUCCGUGCCAGCAGCCGCGGUAAUACGGAGGGUGCAAGCGUUAAUCGGAAUUACUGGGCGUAAAGCGCACGCAGGCGGUUUGUUAAGUCAGAUGUGAAAUCCCCGGGCUCAACCUGGGAACUGCAUCUGAUACUGGCAAGCUUGAGUCUCGUAGAGGGGGGUAGAAUUCCAGGUGUAGCGGUGAAAUGCGUAGAGAUCUGGAGGAAUACCGGUGGCGAAGGCGGCCCCCUGGACGAAGACUGACGCUCAGGUGCGAAAGCGUGGGGGGCAAACAGGAUUAGAUACCCGGGUAGUC